RNAcentral lists this ribosomal RNA (253 nucleotides) under uncultured bacterium. Its description in RNAcentral is "partial 16S ribosomal RNA". It matches the Rfam family "Bacterial small subunit ribosomal RNA", at positions 524 to 776 of the family's 1533-position model. The record is from RNAcentral.
UACGUAGGGGGCUAGCGUUGUCCGGAUUUAUUGGGCGUAAAGAGCGUGUAGGCGGCCAGGUAGGUCUGCUGUGAAAACUCGAGGCUCAACCUCGAGAUGUCGGCGGAAACCAUCUGGCUAGAGUCCGGAAGAGGAGAGUGGAAUUCCUGGUGUAGCGGUGAAAUGCGCAGAUAUCAGGAAGAACACCCGUGGCGAAGGCGGCUCUCUGGGACGGUACUGACGCUGAGACGCGAAAGCGUGGGGAGCGAACAGG